ACGGGUGAGUAAUACAUCGGAACGUGCCCAGUAGUGGGGGAUAGCCCGGCGAAAGCCGGAUUAAUACCGCAUACGACCUACGGGUGAAAGCGGGGGAUCGCAAGACCUCGCGCUAUUGGAGCGGCCGAUGUCAGAUUAGCUAGUUGGUGGGGUAAAAGCCUACCAAGGCGACGAUCUGUAGCUGGUCUGAGAGGACGACCAGCCACACUGGGACUGAGACACGGCCCAGACUCCUACGGGAGGCAGCAGUGGGGAAUUUUGGACAAUGGGCGCAAGCCUGAUCCAGCCAUGCCGCGUGCGGGAAGAAGGCCUUCGGGUUGUAAACCGCUUUUGUCAGGGAAGAAACGGCCUGAUCUAAUACAUCGGGCUAAUGACGGUACCUGAAGAAUAAGCACCGGCUAACUACGUGCCAGCAGCCGCGGUAAUACGUAGGGUGCAAGCGUUAAUCGGAAUUACUGGGCGUAAAGCGUGCGCAGGCGGCUUUGCAAGACAGAUGUGAAAUCCCCGGGCUCAACCUGGGAACUGCAUUUGUGACUGCAUGGCUAGAGUGCGGCAGAGGGGGAUGGAAUUCCGCGUGUAGCAGUG
This 585-nucleotide ribosomal RNA is filed under the name uncultured bacterium. RNAcentral's name for it is "bacterial SSU rRNA". It matches the Rfam family "Bacterial small subunit ribosomal RNA", at positions 102 to 683 of the family's 1533-position model. The record is from RNAcentral.